Salvelinus sp. IW2-2015 is the source of this 1791-nucleotide non-coding RNA. NCBI's taxonomy places the organism in Eukaryota, Metazoa, Chordata, Actinopteri, Salmoniformes, Salmonidae. The record is from RefSeq and is a predicted model, not a curated record.
UUUCAUCUGGGUGCUUGCGUCCCCUACUAACACCCUGGUACUACCCGAACGGGACUCAGUCCGAGAAAACACUGAGAAAGAACAACUUGUCACAUGGUGCAUUGGAGACUGAUGUGUUCCUGUCCUGUCUUUUCACAAUACUACUGCAGGUAUGGUUAUAUUGUCUAAGAAUMAAGAGUACCUGUGGUACAUAUAAAGACCGUUACACCAGCAUGCUAACAUUACGUUAGCAACUGGCCAACUCAUGAAGUGCUAUCAACACCUAGCUAACAGUUACAUUAAAGUAAACUUAUGGAAAUACAUAGCCACAUCUAACCAUUAGGUUAUAUGCAGUUAACGUUAUCUUAGCCAACCAGUUAACAUUAGCCAUUUGAGACAGUUYGCUAGCCUAGCCAGCUAACCUUACAUCAGUGAAGACCAGCGCUGGUGCUGAACUUGUAGUGUAGGAUGCAGCUCCACAUGUAGGGAUUGUUUAUUGGUAAAAUGGCUAGCUAGUUUGCUACUGAGAAUACACCCUAUAAUGUCACGUCCUUCAUAACUACGGCUGAAUCAUGCAAAAAUAACUUGUUGUAGGUGCUCGUGCAGCAGGUGUAUUGCCAUGCCAACAGCCAUGGAGUCUGUGUGCUGUCAGGAAUACCAGGUCCACGAUGACAGAGGAAGGAGAGGGUUUUAUAAAGCAAUAUUCUAGCUUCCCCACGGUCUGUCUGGAUGUCAAUGUGCUGCACACAGCCUACAAUACAUACCGGCAGGACUACACCCAAGAACCUGACAUUCCAUACUCAACACAAGUUAAUUCAUUUAUAAAUAGAAUCUUCACAAAUCUAAUGCAAUAAUGAAAUCAAAUAAUGUUACACCACUCCCCCUACCAAUAGUAGUACACUUUUCCCUUUUUAUAAAGUUCAGACAGUUGCCUUCAGGCAGUUCAUCAGCUGGAAUUGGGGCUAUCUGGGGUGGUACAACCAUGUGCCAAUUCUAGUGUGUGCAGUCAAUGGGAUAAGAAAUAGGUUCCCAAAUUAGGAUAACAUGACCUAUAUGGGAUUCAAGUACCACGUUUUUACCUUUUUAUUAAGUUUUUUAAAUAUAUAGGUUAUACCAAUACUGGUGCAUCACUUUAGUCAUUGGUCUGUCACAUUUCACUUAGUGGUCACAGUACCCAUAAUAAUUAUAUUUUUAUUGUAUAUUAACUAACAUUUAGAAAUACAAUUAUUGUAUCUAUUUUUUUUAAACAUUUUCUUUAUGGAUGAACAAGUUCCACUGAAGGCUUGGCGCAGCAGGAGAGACGUGCAGCGAUUGGUGUGAGAAGGCUCAAGGAGCCCAAUGUCCUGUUACAGAAUAAAAGUGCUCCUUACUUUUAUCCAAUUAUCUCAGCUCAGUAAUGGGUAGUAAACAUGAGCAGACGGGGAACUCUGUGUAAAAAGCAAAAAAAACGAAUGGCAGGUACAGAUCUACUCUGGCAGAUGUGUAUUCUCAGUAGCAAAAUAGCAAGUCAUUGUGGGGGAAAAUGUUGUCUGAAGAGCUAGCAUUGAAUUGCAAACAGCAUCUCCUUGGUUCGUGUAGGUGAAUGUGACCUCCUCCUCAGACCAAUUGGCAGUACGCCCAUAARAUUGUUCAGUCACAUGCAGGAACCAACGCUAAUAAUGAAUAAUGUAUAUCAUGCUUAUAUGACUUGUUUGUAUAGCAGUAUAAAAGGACUGAGAGGGAACACCCUUUUCAGUGUUUUCAUUAAUAAGCUUGGAUUGAGUUUGUGAACCUCUCCGGCCGUGAUAAUAAAGAUUGAUUCAUUUAUAUUGA